Mustela erminea (ermine) is the source of this 3950-nucleotide long non-coding RNA. RefSeq lists it as uncharacterized. Lineage: Eukaryota; Metazoa; Chordata; Mammalia; Carnivora; Mustelidae. The record is from RefSeq and is a predicted model, not a curated record. The transcript is spliced from 2 exons.
GAACUGGGUGUGGUGCAAAAAUAAUGAAUACUGUUAUGCUGAAAAUAAAUAAAAGAAAAAAAGAAAAGAAAAGUCAACCAACGGGAAGAAUAAUGGGAUUGUGACACAAACCGCAUGUGCGUGCGUGUGUGUGUUUUCCGUGUCUUCUGUGCCUUCCCCUAAAUUCAGUUGCUUGAAGGCAGUAUCUAACACGUGUUCAUCUCUUCAUUCCCAGUGUCUGGAAGAUGGAAAGUAAAUGCUUAGAAAAUGUGUGGGUCAAUCUAUAGCACAAUUUUUGGGCUGCUGUUCAUCUUAAGUGAGGAACUAAAUGCUUGCUUAGAAAUAAUCUCACACAGAAUCUUUAGGAUUUCCCAAAUCUUCAUAUUACUAAAACUCAGGAUGCAUGUGUUCUGAAAUUCAAAGGGUAAAACAUUAUUCUUGUAUUGAUUAGUCUAUUCAGGCAAAGAAACUAUCGUAAAGAUUCUAUCACUGUGAUCUUAAGUCCUUGGUUUUUACCUUUUCUGUUCAAGAUCACAUAGUGCAUUACAUUUAGAUGUUAAUGUUAAUGUUAGGCUCCUCAAUUUCUCAGACUUUGACUAGUGAUCUUGACAGUUAGAAAGAGUGUACUUCUCAGGUGUUCUGUGGGAUGCCUUUCUGUUGGAAUUUGAUGAUUAGACUGGUGUUGUGGGGUAUGGAGAGUAAGACCAGAAGGGCAAAGUGCCUUUUCACCAUAUGACAUCAAGGGUUUGCAUAUCCCUUUGACAUAUUCUCAUCAGUGUGUUGUUUGCUUCCUGUUUGUUUGUUUGUUUGUUUGUUUUGAGUACUUUCUUAUGCUGUGGUCCAUGCUCUGCUUGAAAAUUUCCUGCCCCAGCCCUAGAAUCAGCCAUUUCUCCAAGGAGCCCUGGAGAACAGUAUUAAAAACCAAGAUCUGGGUACUAAGUAUGCUUGUCGCUAUUGGAUGUUCUUUCUUUUAUGCUCGCUCAGCAGACAGAGAAAAGACAUAUGUGUGUGUUUAUUAGCUUCUGUACAGUCACCCUUCCCAGCUUAUUCUUGAUCUUGCUUUCUGGGGCUCUGGUUUCCUGUGGUCAGAUGAUCUUCCUUCUGACUUAUCGCCCGAAGGUCAAUGGUAGCCGAACGCUGGGUGACAGCACCUAGGUCGGCCAGCUCAUUUCCUCCCAUCAGGCAGGCAUUUUACCACCUCACGUCACCAUAACAAGGAGGAGGAGGAGUGCAGUAAGGUAUUUUGAGAGAGGGAGAGAGACAGCAUUCACAUCACUUUUAUUCCAGUGUAUUGUUAAAAUUGGUCUAUCUUCUUAUUAGGGAUUGCUAAUCUCUCACCGUGCCUCAUUCAUACAUUAAACUUCAUCAUAGGUGUGUGUGUGUGUAGAGGAAAAAACAGAAUAUAUGCAGGUUUCAGGUAUCCCCUAGGGGUCUUGGAAAGUGUACUCCGCAGAUGAGGAGGGCCGCCGCAGGUACCAUGUAUCUGCAAACAUUCUUACGUGUGACUGGAUGUAUCAUAAGCUGGACAUUCUUACUGAUGUCUCCCACUGCAGUCCAGUCCCAUUGGACUGGAUCAUUUUCGCCUCCUCCCUUGCUUAUCUGGGAACUCCCAGUCGAACAGGGAGAAACCUGGCUUCGACCAUCCCCAACCCACUUAAUUGUUCAAUUUGGUUUUCAUGCAAAGCGGCAUCAGAAUUGUUCACCUGUACUGGUGGGAGGAGGGGUUGCGUGGUCAGUUACAAAGCAGUGUGUAUGUGCCAUCUCCUUGCCUCUAGUUCUUAGAGACUCACUCCCAAAGUGACUGGGGUCAGCACCUGUCUGUCCUUCCACACCACGCAGCGAGGUGUUUUGCACAUUUGCAGUGUAGUUGGAGUCUUGUCACUGUCUCCACUCUUUCCUCUCACUUCUCAGCCUAAGUGACGUUUAAAAUUUGCAUAUCUUGGGCGACCGACUCUUGGUUUUGGCGCAGGUCCUGGUCUCUGAGGGGUUUCAGGUUCGGGUCCCAAGUGUGGCUUUGCGCUCAGAGCCGAGUCUGCUGGGGGACUCUCUCCUUCUCUCUCUGGCCCUUCGUCUGCUCAUGCUGUCUCUCUCUCAAAAUGAAUAAACGAAUAAAUCUUUUUAAAUUUGCGUAGAUCAAGGUUCACUGUCCAUGCUGUGAGUUCUGUGGUCUUAACAAGUGUAUAAUGUCAUGUGUGCACCGUUACAAUGUUGUACAGAAUUCUUUCACAGCCUAGAAGUCCCCCAGGCUUCACCCACUUCUCCCUCCCUCUCCCCUGCACCCCUUAGGGAUCACGGAUGCGUUUACUGUCUUUAUAGUUUUGCCUUUUUCCAGAAGGUCCCCGGAGUAGAACCCUACAGUAGGCAGCCUCUUGAGCUCGACUUCUCUCGCUGAGAAUAUUCAACAAAGGUCGUGUGCGCUGCAUCUUUUUGUGGCUUGAGAGCUCAUUUAUUUCAUUCCUGCCACUGACUACUGUUCUCUUGUGCAGAUAUACAACCCUUUGUGUACUCGUUCACCUGUUGAAAGAUAUCUUAGUUGCUUCUGUGCUUGGUGAUUAUGAAUAAAGCUGCUCUCUGCGUUUGCAUACAAAUGUUUGUGUGAACCCAAGUUCUCAACUCCAUUGGGUAAAUAAAUACUUCAGUGUGAUUCCUGGACUGUCUGGUGAGAUUGUGCUUAACUCUGGGAAGAUCUGCCAAACCAUCUUCCGACGGGCAUGGCCAUGCGGUUUUGCCUUCCCAGCAGCAGUGGACCCACUUUGUCACGCGUUUGCCGAGCCCCCAGUUCGCUCCAGUUCCUUCCUGGCCUCCAUUCCACCUGUGGACUCUGCCCACGGUACUCCCUGCAACUAGCUUCGGGACAACUAAAACAUUAAAUGUUCAUUCGGUCGACCCCAAACCACCAGCAGCUGCUCAAAACCAAAAAUAAAAGCCGGUAGUGACGUUCCUCUCCCUCCUCACCCCUGCUGCCCUCCUUCCCCCCUACCAAAACCUCAGCUGCUUUUGGAGAAAGACAACUAGAGAUGAAGCUAAGAUCUCCCCGUCCCCAAGGGGGACCAAAGGCCAUAUACACUUGUGUCAGUACAGGAGGGAGGACCCAAAUUGAUGGCCAAAUCACCAAACUACCUUGUCCCAGAAGAGGAAAAGCUUCCGGAGAACAGGACUGUUGGAAUGGACUGAGGGAUGGAGCGGAUGCAGCUUGUGCAGGGGGCAGAAAGGGGUCCCUGGGCCUUGGUGCUCACCAGAUACCCAGUGGUACACGGAGGGGAACUAGCUCUGGGGCUUCGGUGCGGACCCUGGAGCGAGAGGACAAAGAAGGGAAAGAGACUGACAACUGCGUUCUCUCCUCCCCAGCCCACCCUGCCCGCCCUCCAUAACCUGACCCCACCACCUGGAAAGUCCCUUGACUUGUACUGCCCUUGAAUGGGAAGAAAGCAGUCUGACUCAAGUAGUGGGGUUUAGGCAAGAUUGAGGUGGGGGAGGAAAACCGAAGUGAUCCUGUGGCUGGUGGCUUUGGGGGAUUCGAUGAUCCCUGCUGUGGUGUAGCCCAGAACUCCGUCUCCUAAGUGCCACCGGGGAUUCUCCUGUUAAGGAACCGCUUCAUGUUGGACAUGUGGCUUGUCCGCGAACCAUUUCCCUGCCCCCACCCCCACUCCCACCCCACACCCCGACGAUUCCAGUAAAAAUAAUACAGAAUUUCCAAAGAAGAAAGAGGAAAUCCCAGUUUGGGCUAACUGCGGGAAGGCCAGUGGAGCGCCCAGAGAGGCCAUUUCCUGGUACAACGUCGCCACCUGCUGGAUGUAUCCAGUACCGCACCUUCUAAACAAAGCCCUUGACCUGUUGCUAAGCCCUCUUGAAACUGACCUCUGGACAUCCGGAGGUCCCUUCCACCGGACUCGGACUCUCAUUCACUGACAAAGGAAGGAUCCAAAGGGGUUGGCAGUCAAAUACAAACGGUAUGUACAUUCAGGAGCUCA